AUCGUCGAUGCGGGCGGUCUGCCGCGCGCGACUUGGUGAGAAGUCCACUGAACCUUAUCAUUUAGAGGAAGGAGAAGUCGUAACAAGGUUUCCGUAGGUGAACCUGCGGAAGGAUCAUUGACGAGUGUUCCAAACGAUCGUGCGACUAGUGCAACCUGUGAGGCUGCGACGACCGUUUGACGUCGCAUUCUUCCAUUGCCUGGGCUCUCGCUUUCGCGGAGACCUAUGUGCAGUGGGUGACAACCAGCGUGUGGGUGCAGUCUUGCGCCAAGGGAGGAGCAAACGUCAUCUUGGCAAUUGCGCAUCCCCAGGGUCCAGUGCGGCCUGGCAAUAGGUCAUUGAAUGACUCUCGACAACGGAUAUCUUGGCUCUCGCAUCGAUGAAGAACGUAGCGAAAUGCGAUAUGUGUUGUGAAUUGUAGAAUCCCGUGAACCAUCCAUUCUUUGAACGCAAGUUGCGCCCGAGGAUGCAAGCCGAGGGCACGCCUGCAUGGGUGCAAUGCGAUACGUCGCUCCUUUCACAAGCUUGGGAUCUCCAUUGAGGGUCCCCGGCCCCAUUUUGGAUGCGAUGGGUGGCUCCCCAUGCUACGGCAUGGCGUGUCGAAGCGUGGGUUGUCGGCUGGUUGUAUGACAUGGAAAGAGGUGGACGCCCGCGAGCAUUGUGGCGAUGGCCAAUAGCACCUGUCGUUGCGUCCCGAUGACCCUCAAAAAAUCCAACUCCAUGCUCCUUGGUGUGGAUUCGUCGCCCCAUGUCAGGUGAGGCCACCCGCCGAGUUUAAGCAUAUAAAUAAGCGGAGGAGAAGGAACU
RNAcentral lists this ribosomal RNA (807 nucleotides) under Vanilla edwallii. RNAcentral's name for it is "eukaryotic LSU rRNA". The stretch from base 345 to 499 matches the Rfam family "5.8S ribosomal RNA". The record is from RNAcentral. Lineage: Eukaryota; Viridiplantae; Streptophyta; Magnoliopsida; Asparagales; Orchidaceae.